AAUCCCUAGCCCCCGCCCCCGCCCCCGCCGCGCCGUAGCCUAGCUCGACUGACGAGAAGCCCCGCCGUGCGCCUCCGCCCCCGCUGCCGAGAAGCCUCUCACGCGCGGAGCCAUUCCUGUUGGCGUGCCUGCUGCCCCAACCCCGUCCGCAGUUUCGGGGGAUUCGUUUCUCAGGGGGCAGGGGUGGGGAAGGUUUCAAGGGCUGCCAAAUCUUGGAAAUACUACAUGUUUCUUCAAUGCAGUGCUGCAGAGCCUCCAAGGGCUUGUCAGGUUUCGCAGCAUGAUGGUAGGACCAGAUGUUCCAUCAGGACUGGAGCCAUUGCUAUGUCACUCAAGAAGCUGUUCCAAUUCUACUAUAAGAAUUCCACUGUUUCUAGUACAGAACAGUUUUAGGUGCCUAGAUCUAAAGAUAAUGACAUCACCACUUAUCGGUUAGCAGUUGUUGUUGAGCACCUGGGAACCAUGGCAGGACGGCAUUAUGUUGCAUAUGUAAGAUCUGGCAAGAUAGGGGGUCAGCAGCAGUAGAACCGGGCCACCAAGUCUUGGUUUUAUCUUUUAUGCAAGCGACACACAAGUCAGAGAAGCCUCUCUAGAGUAAGUUCUCAACUAUGGGAGGCUUGCAUUCUUUUUUACCAAAGGAUGGUGGACUACGAAUUAUGUCAACUUUUGUUUUAAUCAGAUUUGGGGUUUGGGGUUUUUGCUAGAUCACAGUUCAAAAUAAUUUCAACACUGGAAUAGAAGGGGCCUUUUUUGUAUGUGUUGUAGGCACACAUAGCAAUGGUUUCAGUGCGGAGGUUAUUUACGGUGGAUUUUUCAUGGGGAUUGGAAGUAGCAGAUCCUACGUUGAUGGAAAUCAAAUGAUACUUGUAGAAUUUAAGGAGUGAACCUGAAUGUGAAGCGGGAUAUAAAUUCUCUCUUCAUACUAUUAAUUGGAUACCGGAACUACAGAAAGCAAAUAGCAAAGGCAGGGAUAUCAUUGACUGUUAGUGUCACCAUUUUUUAGGGGGUGAACAUGAUUACAGAGCAAGUACUACUGCUGAAGCAUAUUAGGAUUCUUCGUGAUAUUUAUGGGCAACUAUAGGCCUCUAAACAUGCCAAUUGCUCCGAUGUUUUGCAUAAUUGGAAUUUUGCUGAAAGGGGAAAUUUCCUCUAAUGUUAUCCGAUAAACAUAUAGUUUGGAUAAAUAUUUCAGUGUUGUAGUCAAAGAAGACAUGAAACUUUUAACAGUUUUAUUUCCUGAUGGACACGAAGGGUGUACUUUUACUCUGAAGGAUCAGUAAAUAGCGGGGCAACAGGGGUGGCUGUGGGACUGGAGCAGUGGAACGUGGCAACUCUGGAAGAAACUACGGAGGAACUCAAUAAGUGGAGAAGUGCAUUAGAGAGUGCUUUAGCGCAGGCAUCAAGUGUAGCGAGUACAGCGGGGCAAAAUCCAAUAUUCAACACUGAUGCAACAGAACCUUCUGAAGCUUCAACUGAACAUUUUCUUAUGGCAGGAGAAUGACAGACAGUAUGGUUGAAAUGGCAAGGUCUGGACAGAGGUUUCUUACUGUGUAUUAUGAUCAUGGGCCCAAUGUGGUGGGGAAUGACAUGGACGAUGUCGUGAUAUAUCCCACUGCCGAGCUGCCUCCUGUCAUCAGUCCUCAAAAGCCAAGGAAUCAUAUGCACUCAAGUCCUGAAGAGAAGCCAGAAAGCCAGAUUGAUGAGGCAGAAAGUCAGCUUGAUGAUUCUGAUAGUAAUGAGAAGGUUGGCAGUGAGAAAGAUUCAGAUGAUCCGGAUUAUGAUGCCAUAGUUGACAGUGACUAUGGUCUUGAAGAUGGAGAUAUUUGUGAUGAUGACUUUGACGAUUUUGCUGAUAAGAAGGGGAAGACAAAGUUAGCUGAAGAAGAACAAUCUGAUGAAGAAGAGCUCAAGUACCCAGAAUCAGAUGAUGAUGGACAGAUCAAGUUUAAUUUCAAAAUUUUCAGAGAAUAGGAUAUGAGUAGUCCAGUGUUCACUGUUGGACAAAAUUUUCCCAUUGUUGAUGUGUUGAGGACUUCUAUCAAGGAGUAUUCUUGCAAGGAGAGAGUAAACAUUAUGUUGAACCGGUAUGGGCCCUAGCCCAUCAAGAUCUGUCUCUUGGGCCCAAGCCCAUGAGAGGUGCUGACCUAGAAGAGGAGCCCCUCUUCCCUUCUCCCGUGUGAGCCGCCACAUCUGAGACACACACUCACACAGGAAACAAGACAGGAAGCGAGGCUGCUGUCUGAAGGUACCCAUCUCCCGAUUCGACAUGGUAUCGAGCCAGGCGACGACGGUGACGGCGUAGUCCCUCACCGGAGAGGCGGCGGUGGGGCCCAGCGGGGUCAGGCGAGAAAGGAGGCUGCGUGCGUGCGCGAGGCGGCGGGUCUGCUAUGGUGCGUGCGGCGGCGGCGCGGCUGGGCUCGAGGAGCUGCGACGCGGCCGGGAAGGUGCUGCUUCCUCUUGUCCUGCUUCGCGUCCCUGGGGUGGCUAGCUGCAAAGGGGGCGGCCGAGGAGGGCUGCUGCGGGCUGUGCAGGCGGCUGCGGCAAGAAGAGGAGGAGGAAGAAGGCAGCGGCGGAUUUGGGCUGUGUGCGAGUCAGGAUGCGGCGGGGAGCUGCUGCUGUUGGUGCUGCUGAACAGAAGAGGAACUGCAACUGCUGCUGCUGCCUUGUGUUGUUCCUGGA
Triticum dicoccoides is the source of this 2679-nucleotide long non-coding RNA. RefSeq lists it as uncharacterized. NCBI's taxonomy places the organism in Eukaryota, Viridiplantae, Streptophyta, Magnoliopsida, Poales, Poaceae. The record is from RefSeq and is a predicted model, not a curated record. The transcript has 6 exons.